GGCAUGCCUUACACAUGCAAGUCGAACGGUAGAAGGGGCAACCCUUCGAGAGUGGCGAACGGGUGAGUAAUGCAUCGGAACGUGCCCAGUCGUGGGGGAUAGCCCGGGGAAACCCGGAUUAAUACCGCAUACGACCUGAGGGUGAAAGCGGGGGACCAGCAAUGGCCUCGCGCGAUUGGAGCGGCCGAUGUCGGAUUAGGUAGUUGGUGGGGUAAAGGCCUACCAAGCCUGCGAUCCGUAGCUGGUCUGAGAGGACGACCAGCCACACUGGGACUGAGACACGGCCCAGACUCCUACGGGAGGCAGCAGUGGGGAAUUUUGGACAAUGGGGGCAACCCUGAUCCAGCCAUGCCGCGUGCGGGAAGAAGGCCUUCGGGUUGUAAACCGCUUUUGUCAGGGAAGAAAUGUCCUGGGUUAAUACCCUGGGGGGAUGACGGUACCUGAAGAAUAAGCACCGGCUAACUACGUGCCAGCAGCCCGCGGUAAUACGUAGGGUGCGAGCGUUAAUCGGAAUUACUGGGCGUAAAGCGUGCGCAGGCGGUUAUACAAGACAGAUGUGAAAUCCCCGGGCUCAACCUGGGAACUGCAUUUGUGACUGUAUAGCUGGAGUA
RNAcentral lists this ribosomal RNA (611 nucleotides) under uncultured bacterium. Its description in RNAcentral is "bacterial SSU rRNA". It matches the Rfam family "Bacterial small subunit ribosomal RNA", at positions 41 to 648 of the family's 1533-position model. The record is from RNAcentral.